Molecule: ribosomal RNA, 468 nt
Filed under: uncultured bacterium
Lineage: Bacteria
Description: partial 16S ribosomal RNA
Rfam family: Bacterial small subunit ribosomal RNA
Source: RNAcentral
GACGAACGCUGGCGGCGUGCUUAACACAUGCAAGUCGAACGGAAAGGCCCUGCUUUUGUGGGGUGCUCGAGUGGCGAACGGGUGAGUAACACGUGAGUAACCUGCCCUUGACUUUGGGAUAACUUCAGGAAACUGGGGCUAAUACCGGAUAGGAGCUCCUGCUGCAUGGUGGGGGUUGGAAAGUUUCGGCGGUUGGGGAUGGACUCGCGGCUUAUCAGCUUGUUGGUGGGGUAGUGGCUUGCCAAGGCUUUGACGGGUAGCCGGCCUGAGAGGGUGACCGGCCACAUUGGGACUGAGAUACGGCCCAGACUCCUACGGGAGGCAGCAGUGGGGAAUAUUGCACAAUGGGCGGAAGCCUGAUGCAGCAACGCCGCGUGCGGGAUGACGGCCUUCGGGUUGUAAACCACUUUCGCCUGUGACGAAGCGUGAGUGACGGUAAUGGGUAAAGAAGCACCGGCUAACUACGUG